Molecule: ribosomal RNA, 378 nt
Filed under: Bacillus sp. (in: firmicutes)
Lineage: Bacteria; Bacillati; Bacillota; Bacilli; Caryophanales; Bacillaceae
Description: bacterial SSU rRNA
Rfam family: Bacterial small subunit ribosomal RNA
Source: RNAcentral
UUGGGCGUAAGCGCGCGCAGGCGGUCUUGCUUAAGUCUGAUGUGAAAGCCCACGGCUCAACCGGGGAGGGUCAUUGGAAACUGGGAGAACUUGAGUGCAGAAGAGAAAAGCGGAAUUCCACGUGUAGCGGUGAAAUGCGUAGAGAUGUGGAGGAACACCAGUGGCGAAGGCGGCUUUUUGGUCUGUAACUGACGCUGAGGCGCGAAAGCGUGGGGAGCAAACAGGAUUAGAUACCCUGGUAGUCCACGCCGUAAACGAUGAGUGCUAAGUGUUAGAGGGUUUCCGCCCUUUAGUGCUGCAGCUAACGCAUUAAGCACUCCGCCUGGGGAGUACGGUCGCAAGACUGAAACUCAAAGGAAUUGACGGGGGCCCGCACAA